RNAcentral lists this long non-coding RNA (506 nucleotides) under Triticum aestivum (bread wheat). RNAcentral describes it as "long non-coding RNA (TAES_LNC019324)". Lineage: Eukaryota; Viridiplantae; Streptophyta; Magnoliopsida; Poales; Poaceae. The record is from RNAcentral.
GGAGCGAUAAGGUGUUGGAGCACCUCCUUGUGUCAGCUUCAGCGCUCGCUUAGCCAAGGCGGCAACUCCCGGCGACGCCGUGGGUGGUCGGCUCUGGUGGCAUGCGAUGGCGGGCGUCGGCGAUCUGGGCAGGCGAAAGGUCGAGGCGCGGGGUGGCUCGCAGCGUCGAGCAUGUGGCACACUUGAACAACGGGGACGCCGGGACUCCAGCACCUGAACGACGUGAGGCCGCGAGCUCGUGGUCGAGAGCAAUCGCAUUGGCCCAAGAUGACGGCAACGUCGACGAUGUGCAGCCGCGACCUGAGUUUAGCCUACCGCGCGGAGGUACGCCGCCUUCCUUCCUCUCCUCCGUCAUGGCCUUUGAUCGUGGUGGGGGCGACGGGAGAGAAUUUUGGAGCUUGUUGGUGGGACUACGCCGCCUUCCUUUCCUCUCCUCCGUCAUGGCCUCUGCUUGUGGUGGGUGCGACGGGAGAGAAUUUUGAAGCUUGGUGGUGGGACGAGGAGGC